This is a long non-coding RNA of Poecilia latipinna (sailfin molly), 693 nucleotides long. RefSeq lists it as uncharacterized. The transcript is spliced from 3 exons. NCBI's taxonomy places the organism in Eukaryota, Metazoa, Chordata, Actinopteri, Cyprinodontiformes, Poeciliidae. The record is from RefSeq and is a predicted model, not a curated record.
GGAGUUGUGUGAGAGAUUCUAAGUUAUCACCCUAAUACAGGAUACAAGAUGAUAUUGGGCUACUUGAAUGCCAGAGGUAUUCAUAUCCAAAGAAGAAGAGUGCAAGAAGCAAUGUACCGAGUUGACCAGCAAGGAAUUUUGAUGCACACUUUCCAGCUUUGCACUGUUCGGCGUAGAAGAUACUCUGUUCCAGCUCCAAACAGCUUGUGGCACAUAGAUGGAAUCCAUAAACUUGUACGAUGCCAAAUUGUUGUUCACGGGGGCAUUGACGGCUUUAGCCGCUUCAUUGCUUACCUGACUGUUGCUACAAACAAUCGUGCUACAACAGUUCUUGACAGCUUUCUUGAAGCUAUGAAUACAUAUGGAGUGCCAUCUCGUGUUCGUUCAGACAAAGGAGGGGAGAAUGUACUAGUGGCACACUUCAUGGUCUCAACCAGAGGCCAAAACAGAAAUUAUCACAUAACAGGAAGAAGCGCACAUAACCAAAGGUAUUUAAAUUAAAGUCUUGAUGUAUUCUCCAUUCUCCAUGUUUUCAUACUGACUACUUCCAUGGAAGUUGCUACAUUUCUCAAAAUAGUAUGACAAGUAACCGUCGUGAAAUCCCGGGGUCAGUAGAAAGGUCUGCAUCUCACAAUUAUGAACUCAAUGUCCACAGAGCAAUGACUGGAGAACAGGGUGGCGUUGUUACACUAG